GCUUUCGGUUUUGCUUGUAGUCGUUGUCUUUAGCUUAUGUAGUGGUCGGCCUUCCCUUCCUACACGCACGCGCCCGCCAGAAUGCCUCCUUGGUUCUGCACGAAGCCAAGCCAAUACAUACGAUAGGCGAAGUCAAGACUCCCAUUUCAUAGCGCCUGGGGAACGCAAGUUUGAUCGAGGAUUGGAGAGAGAGUAUAUAGAGUCAAA
Cucurbita maxima (winter squash) is the source of this 207-nucleotide long non-coding RNA. RefSeq lists it as uncharacterized. The record is from RefSeq and is a predicted model, not a curated record. Lineage: Eukaryota; Viridiplantae; Streptophyta; Magnoliopsida; Cucurbitales; Cucurbitaceae. The transcript has 3 exons.